CUAAGUACCCCGAGGAAAAGAAAUCAACCGAGAUUCCCCCAGUAGCGGCGAGCGAACGGGGAGGAGCCCAGAGCCUGAAUCAGUGUGUGUGUUAGUGGAAGCGUCUGGAAAGGCGCGCGAUACAGGGUGACAGCCCCGUACACAAAAAUGCACAUAUUGUGAGCUCGAUGAGUAGGGCGGGACACGUGGUAUCCUGUCUGAAUAUGGGGGGACCAUCCUCCAAGGCUAAAUACUCCUGACUGACCGAUAGUGAACCAGUACCGUGAGGGAAAGGCGAAAAGAACCCCGGCGAGGGGAGUGAAAAAGAACCUGAAACCGUGUACGUACAAGCAGUGGGAGCCUCUUAAUGGGGUGACUGCGUACCUUUUGUAUAAUGGGUCAGCGACUUAUAUUCUGUAGCAAGGUUAACCGAAUAGGGGAGCCGAAGGGAAACCGAGUCUUAACUGGGCGUUAAGUUGCAGGGUAUAGACCCGAAACCCGGUGAUCUAGCCAUGGGCAGGUUGAAGGUUGGGUAACACUAACUGGAGGACCGAACCGACUAAUGUUGAAAAAUUAGCGGAUGACUUGUGGCUGGGGGUGAAAGGCCAAUCAAACCGGGAGAUAGCUGGUUCUCCCCGAAAGCUAUUUAGGUAGCGCCUCGUGAAUUCAUCUCCGGGGGUAGAGCACUGUUUCGGCAAGGGGGUCAUCCCGACUUACCAACCCGAUGCAAACUGCGAAUACCGGAGAAUGUUAUCACGGGAGACACACGGCGGGUGCUAACGUCCGUCGUGAAGAGGGAAACAACCCAGACCGCCAGCUAAGGUCCCAAAGUCAUGGUUAAGUGGGAAACGAUGUGGGAAGGCCCAGACAGCCAGGAUGUUGGCUUAGAAGCAGCCAUCAUUUAAAGAAAGCGUAAUAGCUCACUGGUCGAGUCGGCCUGCGCGGAAGAUGUAACGGGGCUAAACCAUGCACCGAAGCUGCGGCAGCGACACUAUGUGUUGUUGGGUAGGGGAGCG
RNAcentral lists this ribosomal RNA (995 nucleotides) under Escherichia coli. RNAcentral's name for it is "partial 23S ribosomal RNA". It matches the Rfam family "Bacterial large subunit ribosomal RNA", at positions 202 to 1238 of the family's 2925-position model. Lineage: Bacteria; Pseudomonadati; Pseudomonadota; Gammaproteobacteria; Enterobacterales; Enterobacteriaceae. The record is from RNAcentral.